This 1261-nucleotide long non-coding RNA is filed under the name Equus caballus (horse). RNAcentral's name for it is "lncRNA (ENSECAG00000051338.1)". The record is from RNAcentral. Lineage: Eukaryota; Metazoa; Chordata; Mammalia; Perissodactyla; Equidae.
AGAUUAGCCCUGAGCUAACUACUGCCUAUACUCCUCUUUUUGCUGAGGAAGACUGGCCCUGAGCUAACAUCCAUGUCCAUCUUCCUCUGCUUUUAUACGUGGGAUGUCUACCACAGCAUGGCUUUUGCCAAGCAGUGCCAUGUCUGCACCGGGAUCUGAACAAGCAAACCCCGGGCCGCGAGAAGCUGAACGUGCGAACUUCACCGCUGCGCCAUCCGGCCGGCCCCCUGGGUCCCUUGCUUUAUAGUAGUGCAUCUAAACUUCAAAGUGGAUGCUAAUCAACUUGAGGUAUUGCUGGUAUAUAGGAAAUCUAAUGGUGUUGGUGAUUGCUUUUUUAUUUGACUGCUCUAUUGACCUUUCUUAUUAGCACACAACCUUAUCGUCUGUCAAUAAUGAUACGUUUAUCUUCUCUUAUACAGGAAUGGUCUGGUGCCUGAUGAUGGUCCAAUUAGCUGUGGCGAGGCCGGGAUGAGUGGUGUUGCAAUGUGAAAAUGUGACAGCCUAGGUCGCCCCCUUAGCAGGGGCUUUGGGUAAGGUUACCCUUGGAAAGAGCUUGGAGACACACCACGAUAGACAAGUUCAGUGAAAGAAUUAUUACUAAGUUUUCCUUUUUUGUGCCACGAUUCAUCUUGCAAAUCUGAACAACCAAAGAGUGCUUGUAUCUCGGACUCCAUUCAGAGUAGAGUGAGAAUACUUUGAUAAAACCAUUGUUUGGGUUUAUGUUUACACAAUCCAUGUUCUUUUUGUAGUUACUUGUAUCAACUAUGUUGCUUCUUGUAAUUUAACCCACCACCUUCCAUUGUAAAAGUUAAAAUGCAAACAGCUAAAACGACACUGAAUUUUUUAAAAAAGCUAAAAGCAAUAGAAAGAAUAUCUAGCAUUUCAAGUGUAUUUAAAAUGUCAACUUUUUAAAAAAUUAAUUGGGGUUUUUUUUAGAGCAUCCUUAGGCUUAAGAAAAAUGGACAGAAAGUACAGUUUCCAUAUACUCCCUCCCCCAGUCCUCCUUGCCCCCUAGUUCCCCCUAUUGUUAACAUUGUGCAUUAGCUGGUAUGUUUGUUACAACUGACAAACCAAUAUUGAUACAUUAUUAUUAAUAAAAGUCCAUAGUUAUAUUAGGGUUCAUUCUUCAUGUUGUGCAUUCUAUGGCUUUUGACAAACUUAUAAUGACAUAUAUCCAUCACUAUGGUGUCAUACAGAAUAGUUUCACUGCUCUAAAAAUUCCCUGUGUUCCACCUAUUUAUCCCUCCCCCACUGAAACCCC